This 1026-nucleotide long non-coding RNA is filed under the name Canis lupus familiaris (dog). RNAcentral describes it as "lncRNA (ENSCAFG00000041070.2)". Lineage: Eukaryota; Metazoa; Chordata; Mammalia; Carnivora; Canidae. The record is from RNAcentral.
AUGAGAAAGCUCACAGUUCACCACCCGGUCCGUGCUCUCGUGUGGAUAGAAAGCUCAGGCCCGCGGGAGUGCGGCCCCCUGAAGCGUGGUUCCCAGAGGCCUGGAUCCAGUGCUGCGCCCCCAAAGCCUGUUCGCGUUGCUCUACUGCUUCAACAGGUCAAGCGUCUACAGGAAAAAAUUAAAAAGCAGAAAAGGAAAACCGUGCAAGCAAUGGAACACAUGCCAUCUGGUGGCGAGCUGGGGCAGCGCGGCGGCUCCUCCAGGAUAGUGCUCCCUGGGAGGGGGGGAGCCACAGCAGGGGGAGCCCCGUUUCCCAGGGCCCGCUUGCCACUGUGCUUGGCAGGUCAUCCUCAAGCAAACUGCCGGGCAUCACGGUCCUGCUGCAGCUGCCGUCACCAGCCUCGUGGCUCAGACCCGCUCCCCGAUUGCUCCCGGGCCCCGCAGAGCUGGCUCUGCCCCCCAAUCACCCGAGCGCCGUCUGCGCCCCUUGGCCCAUGCAGAGGGUGCAUUUCUCUUCUCUCUCUGAGAAGCCAUCUGACCCGACACGGGCCGCGGGCUCCAGGACCCCCGGACCCAGCAAGUCGUGUGCUCCCCGGCCGGAGCCCGCCGGGCUCCCUGGGCAGUGGGUCCCUGUGGGUCAGGCCUCGCAGUGUGGCCCGACCGGAGAGCCAGCAUCACCUUCCUGUUAAGUCCGAGAGGAAGGGAGGCACGGGGGUAGGGGCUCACGCGGGAUCGGGGCGAGAGAAAGGGUCUCAGGCCGUGCAGGUGUCCUACCUGUGGUGCUACACGCGCCCGGGUUUUUGUUUAGACCUUGCCGACGCAUGUCGUCUGUGUCACCGUGGAGGGUGGGGACCGCAGAGAACCGAGAGGCUUCAGCGAGACUCCGCUGCACGCGCUGGAGCCAGAAGGUGCGGGGAAGGGCCUUCGGCAGAAGAGCUUCCAGAACUCCCAGUGGCAGGACGCCGGGCCUUGGCGGCAGGACCAAGACUAGUCCUCGCACGGCCGCCUGAUGACACUGGGGCUUAG